AAACAAGCCCUUCGGGCUCUUGGUGAAUCAUAAUAACUUAACGAAUCGCAUGGCCUUGCGCCGGCGAUGGUUCAUUCAAAUUUCUGCCCUAUCAACUUUCGAUGGUAGGAUAGUGGCCUACCAUGGUGGCAACGGGUAACGGGGAAUUAGGGUUCGAUUCCGGAGAGGGAGCCUGAGAAACGGCUACCACAUCCAAGGAAGGCAGCAGGCGCGCAAAUUACCCAAUCCCGAUACGGGGAGGUAGUGACAAUAAAUACUGAUACGGGGCUCUUUUGGGUCUCGUAAUUGGAAUGAGAACAAUUUAAAUCCCUUAACGAGGAACAAUUGGAGGGCAAGUCUGGUGCCAGCAGCCGCGGUAAUUCCAGCUCCAAUAGCGUAUAUUAAAGUUGUUGCAGUUAAAAAGCUCGUAGUUGAACCUUGGGUCUGGCUGGCCGGUCCGCCUCACCGCGAGUACUGGUCCGGCUGGACCUUUCCUUCUGGGGAACCCCAUGGCCUUCACUGGCUGUGGGGGGAACCAGGACUUUUACUGUGAAAAAAUUAGAGUGUUCAAAGCAGGCCUUUGCUCGAAUACAUUAGCAUGGAAUAAUAGAAUAGGGACGUGCGGUUCUAUUUUGUUGGUUUCUAAGGACCGCCCGUAAUGAUUAAUAGGGGAUAGUCGGGGGCGUCANUAUUCANCUGUCAAAAGGUUGAAAUUCUUGGAUUUUUCCUUGAAAAACUAAACUACUGGCCAAAAACCAUUUCACCCAAAGGGAAUGUUUUUUCCUUUUAAAUCAAGGG
Molecule: ribosomal RNA, 777 nt
Filed under: Penicillium sp. ASR-277
Lineage: Eukaryota; Fungi; Ascomycota; Eurotiomycetes; Eurotiales; Aspergillaceae
Description: SSU rRNA
Rfam family: Eukaryotic small subunit ribosomal RNA
Source: RNAcentral